This 4659-nucleotide long non-coding RNA is filed under the name Malus domestica (apple). RNAcentral's name for it is "long non-coding RNA (MDOM_LNC007432)". The record is from RNAcentral. Lineage: Eukaryota; Viridiplantae; Streptophyta; Magnoliopsida; Rosales; Rosaceae.
UGACAUGGGCAUGUGGGAGAGGACCCAGCUAUCUGGGCUGGUGGAAUUGGCUGCGGGCCGAGGCAACAAUGAGGUCUAAUAAGCAUAAAAGCUUGCGGGCACUGGUGUAGGUAGGGCUACAAGCCCAUGGUGAAGGAACCCAAACCAGGCACACAACCUGGUUGUUUACAUAGUGCCACGGUGGUACGAUGGGUGUGCCGCACCAUGUCUAAGUUCCCUUAUUUUUUUUCGAAAUCCCCUAGGGUUUAGGAAACCCAAAUUUGCUUCUAAUUUAUUUUAUAUAGUUUGACUCACAAAUUCCACAUAACAAUUUAAUUGUGCGAUGCAUGAAACAAAUAUAUAAACAUAUACACUAUAUAUAUAUAUAUAUAUAUAUAAAGGAAAAUAUAAACAUAGAGGGGUUCAUGCAUCAUGGAGAAUGUUUUCAUGCUUUGUGGACGUUUCAAACAUCUUCUUUUAUUUUAAGCGUACCUGAUUAGCAUAAAACGAAUAAGCCUUUGAAUUUGGUGGAAGAUAGCCUCCUUCUACAAUGCGUCAAUUCCUUUGCUUCUGGCAAGAACGUGCUGAUAAUGUGUUGUAGGCCUAUUUGAUUGAAUGAUCAAAGGUUUAGAGAGAGAGAGGGGGCUGUCAAUAUUGAGGGAGAAGAGAGAGUGAUAUAAUUGUGAUUCAUCCCAUUGUGCUUUUAUUUAUAGUAGUAGGAUAGGUAAAAACCUUUCCCUUUAGGAUUACAACAUUGAAUAGGUAAUCUACUCCUAAUAGAAAUAUAAGAUACAUUCCCAUAUCUACUAGGAUUUACAGAAUCACAUUCUUAUUCUAAAUAUGAUUGCAACAUUUACAAUAUUUUUGUAUCUUUUCACGCCUUUUCAUUCUCGUUAAUGACUAUUGAACAUGGUAAAAAAUAAAGUGGGUGGGGCCCAUUUUGUAUGUUGUAAAUUUUUUAAUGUUUAAUUAUUUUUAUUUUCCAUGUCAUCUAAAUAUGUGGAUUUUUUAUAUGUCACGUCGUCCCUUAUCGGUCAAUUGAUGGUUUGACUAAUGAAUGUAUGAAGUUGCAAUGAAAUAAUAAACAAAAUAUGAAAUUAAAAUGUUUUAAACAUGUAUGAGGCUGUAGUUGCACCUAAACUUGAGUGGGUAAAAUGUAAUUUACCCUAUUGUUUACAACAAGCUAGGCCAUCAAAAAUACAUAUUUCAUUUUUGGAAAUAAAAUUUCUGAAACCCGAGAUUUUGUUGAAAAUAUAUCAUCGCAAAAAUUAGAUGUUGUAUAGAAAGUAUUUUCGACGGUCAUAUAUGACAUGCACUGAUCUCGAUGUCCGAGGGACAUCGGGAUGGCCACGUGUUGGCCGACACUCGAGGGUGACGCAAACUAUUUAAUGAAUGCAUAUGCUGAGAACAUGUAAAACAUGCAUAUAAAUUUCGUUCGAAUUACAAAAAUAAUAUACUAAUAUUCAACUGGAAACAAUGAUAAAAAUAGCGAUAAUGCAUGACAUGUUCAGAGCAUAGAACUAAUUUAGAGUACAUGCGGAAGAUAAACUAGAGAGGUGCUAUUACAAUAGAAGUCAAAGCAAAGAGGAUGGCGCGGUAUCACUAAUAGGGGAAUGCCUCGUAUCUCGGAUCAUAUUCCUCGUUCCUAUGUCCUGAGGGGGCGCAAAAUAAACAUAAGUGGACCAAGUUGAUAUAUAUAAUAUUGAAAUAGUUAUCAACAUACUAACUCCCAAAGUUUUAUGAAAACUAAUAGCAUAAUAUGUGAUAGAUUUUCCGAAACCUUAGCAUGCCAUAAAACCUUUCAUGAAACAUAUCUCGUAUAUAUAGUGUGUGCUAACUAGUGGUAUCCUAGUCACCCGUGAUGUUCAAUAAUUAUAUCUCCCUGCCCAUAGUUAACUACUAGGUCUUUGCGCUUGAAGCCAACUCCAUGUCUUUCGGCACGAAGCCAAAGAUUAUUUCUCCCGGCCUGAAGCCAACUCCUAUCUUUGCCCGUAGGCAGAACCGUGACCACUAGAUACGCACAAAAACAUUGAAUAUAUACUUUCCAAACAUAGGUACAUAUAUCUCAAAAACAUCUUCAUAGCAUAUAGUCGUCCAUCAUAUAUACUAUAAAGAAGUGCGUAAAAACAUGUUUGUAAACAGUAUAUAGUCAUCCAUCAUAUAUACUACAAAGAACAUCAAUUCGAUAAAAUAUGGUAAUACAAAAUAUUCUUAGUAAGCAUAAUAUCUCAUAAAAUGUAGUUAUUAAAUCAUGCUUUUCAUGUAUGCAUUUCUACUAUUAAAACAUGCAUUUUAGAAGGGGUCCACUCACAGAUACUUCGUUGUCGAAGAGCCGUAUGAAAUAGGAAUGACAAAAUCGUCGCUAAUAUUCGCACCUAAGCACAUAAAGGGUACAAUUAAUAAAACUAUACUCAAACGAUUGAAUUUCAGGAAACGGACAUCAUAAACUGAUUCAGGAUGCUGAAAAACAUAAAAAGGGACCUCGAGUACGGUCACACGUAGCCCCACGCGCCCUUACGCGCUACCGUAAGGUGGUGGCUUUAGCGGCCACGCGCACGGGAAAAGUCGCUGGCUCUGCCGUGAACGGUGGUGCACCCCACUCGCUGGCCACGCGCAGGCUCACGUGCAGCUGGGCUUAGGUUUUGGACCGAGUUUAGGCCAGGGCCUGGGAUCUUGGGUCAGAGGCCCAAGUUAUGCACAGCCCGAAAGCCUAGGUCCAAAAGGGUUAAAGGGUUUUGGGUCAAAAGGCAUAGGCUUAAAAGCCCGACCCAAGUGCCUUUGGGUUUUGGAAAGUAAAUAAAAUAAAUAAUUAAAUGGAUUUGGGUUUAACUGGCUAAGGCUCGAGUUCCAAAUGGCCCGAAAACCUAAAAGACAAGGGUUUGGGCUUUGGGCUGCCCUAAGGCUUGGGCUUUUGGUUUAAGCCCAAAGGCCUUGAUUUUCUUUCUCGCCGGGGAAAGAGGCCAGAGCCUCUCGUGCUCCAGUCAACGGUAAACCAACCUACUAACCUCUGAUCUAACUAGCAAAUUAAAGAUAGAGACAAGAGGGAGAGGUUGGUACCUGAGAUUCAUCGUGAAACGGUUAGAGGUGGUCGGGUUUUUGCUCAAACACCAUGGGAUUCGCCAGGGUUCGCCGCAUUCCACAGAGACAAAGAGAGGGAAAGAAAGAGUGAUUCCAUGGUGGUGAGUGUGGUGGUGUCGUCGCCAGUGGAUCUCCUUGGGUGUGGGGGUGCCUAGGUUUGUCGUCAGUGUGGGUGAGGGCAGGAAGACAGAGAGAGUUAUGUGAGAGAAAGAAUAGUGAGUUGAGAGAGUGAAAGAGAGAGAGCUUGGGGAAAAGAGAAAGAGAGAGAGAGAGAAAUAGAGUGAGUUAGUGGGUUGUCACGUGGCAGGCAAUGAGAGAAGAGAAAAUAUGAGGAAGAUCCCAAAAGCAAACCAUAUUGGGUAGGGGAUAUAAGGUAUAAUUGUAAUUUCAAUAAAUCUUUAGGGGAAAAAAAUGAAUUUAAAAUUAGUUUGGCGGUGGGGUUUAACAAUUUAUGUGUUCGUGACCAUAUUAACACGUUGGAAAUGAAAGAAGUUUGUCGUUUUCAAAUUUUUAUUUUGACAAAAACUAUCAAAUUUUUAUUUUGCCCUGGUAAUGAAUUUCUAGUUUCUCAAAAAAAAAAAAAAAAGUCGAGGGAUGUGAUUGCAUUAUUUAUCUAGGAUUUGAUUUUGAGUUAUUCAUGGUUUUGCCAUCGAGUUUCUACAUUUGGGAUCUUCUCCACCAAAAAAAGGGCUUGGGCUAUUGCGUUUGGGCCCGAAGUCUAAUGUCUCGUGGGUAGGCGAAAUGACUAUUUUGCUUUAUUUAAUAUGGAUCGAACAGACAGGAAUUGGGAGUGCUUUGGUCAUUUUUCACUUAGGUGGGGGGGUGUUUGGUAUCGGUGUCAUUCUGAGAGCCUUCACGAGGUGGGUGCACGAUUUGGGGGAGAGAAAGAGAAGGUAGGGUUGAGGGCUUCACGGAGUGGGUGCCCGAUUUGGGGAACUCAUAAUACCCAUUUCGAUUUAGGGAUCUCACAAUCGUAGCUUCUGUUUCAUGGAAUGGGUGCCCGAUUCGGAUUGUUCUGAUUGUAUUUUGUUUCUAUUCGCUUGAUUUCAAACUUCUCAAUAUAUAUUUCAUUCGGGAUUUUUAAUUGUUGUAUUUUUUUUUAUGGAAUUUAAUGCUUGGAAUUAUACAAAUGGGGUUAAAUUGAUUGUGGCUAGAGAUAGCAACGGUUCGGUUUGGGAACAGAAAUGCAAUAUCUAACCCUAUAACCACAAAAAAUUAACCAUAUCUAUAACCGUCAAUUAACCAUCGGGUAUUAUCAAUAACCAUACUCACCGGGUAACGGAUUCCUCAUCGGUUAACAGUUAUACCCAUAUUCGUCAAUACAAAAAAUAUAUUCGUUCAAUUGACGCAUGAUAAUUUAGUAAAUAUAAUUUCGUCAUUAAAUAUUUGAUGCAUAAAAUGAUUUAAUGAAUAGAUAUUGUGGAGCAUAAAAAUUAAAACUAAACAUUGAUAAUGUUGGUUGAUAUUUGAUAUCUCUGAUAAGUACUAUUGGUUUGGAUUCUCAUAGAUUUGAUUCAUAUAAAAACUUUUUAACUUGCCCACAAAAUACAACUCACACAGUGUAACUUUUGUAUUCUCAAGGUCAGGGAUUCAGUGAAUUAU